UGCCCAAGGAUUCAACGGCCGCGGUACUCUGACCGUGCGAAGGUAGCACAAUCACUUGUUCUUUAAAUGAGGACUAGAAUCAAUGGCAUCACGAGGGUCCCACUGUCUCCUUUUUCUAAUCAGUGAAAUUGAUCUCCCCGUGAAGAAGCGGGGAUAAUUUUAUAAGACGAGAAGACCCCAUGGAGCUUCAAACUCAACAGAUAACUCUAUGACACAAGAUAUUUUAAGAGACCUAUCCGUUAGUCUUGGGUUGGGGUGACCACGGAGAACAACCUAACCUCCGCAGUGAAAAGAAAUCAUAAUCCGAGAGCCACACCUCUAAGAAUUAACAAAUUAA
RNAcentral lists this ribosomal RNA (337 nucleotides) under Ptychadena nana. RNAcentral's name for it is "partial 16S ribosomal RNA". It matches the Rfam family "Bacterial large subunit ribosomal RNA", at positions 1910 to 2408 of the family's 2925-position model. Lineage: Eukaryota; Metazoa; Chordata; Amphibia; Anura; Ptychadenidae. The record is from RNAcentral.